UGCAGCCAUAACCACCCUGAGCGUGCUUGAUCUCAUCUGAUGUUGGAAGCUAAGCAGGGUCAGGCCAGGUUAGUACUUGGAUGGGAGGAAAGAAUCUGCCACAUCUAUAU
RNAcentral lists this ribosomal RNA (110 nucleotides) under Octodon degus (degu). Lineage: Eukaryota; Metazoa; Chordata; Mammalia; Rodentia; Octodontidae. The record is from RNAcentral.